AUGAAUGAGCUAGAUUUCUCAUUUGCAUAUUUAGUUGCCGUGACAACUGCAUGUAGAGAGAACAAGCAUCGGGGACGAGAGACUGUCCAUGUGUUUGAGGAGCGGAGACAUUGACCACAUGAGCACACUUUCAUCUUGUCCUAUGGGUCUCUAAAUAAGGAGUAAAACAGCAGACAUAUGAAGAAGAGCUGAGAGCGUCAGUUGUGCAUCAAACUUGAGAUCUCUUCACAGAACCACCCACAUUCAGGGAUAUCAAUGCUCUUCUCGCACAGACAUCUCCAAAGUCAUCAGAGGUAUUUGAAGAGAGGCUGGGUUCUGUACUUGAUCAGUGUAAGUGAAACGGUUACUGCAGCAGGUUUUGGGGGCAAAGUAGAAUGACGUGCCAUGUCCUUCCCACUCAAAAUGCCACUUUGUAAAAUUUAAGUCUUUCAAGACACUGGAGGUUUGGAGGAUAGUGACCUGAACUUGACACGGAGUCCUAGAAGGCGGUAGACUCUAAAAUACUGAGUUUGUAUACUAGUAAGGCAUUGUGUGGGUUCAUUGAUCAAAGAGGAGAGUGAGAAAUUGCUCAGAUCUUACUGGGUUUGAAAGAACUAGAGUAAACAAAGCUAGACUAAACGAUCAUUUUGUAAGAGACGUAACAGUAACAACAAAUACCAACAAAACUAAAGUUGUUUAUAUUUUUACAAAAGCUUUUCUUAAAGAUACCUUAAAUAUAAAGUAAGAAAAAGUACAAAGACAACAAAACCAAUUAAAUGCGGACACUUUAUCAACGAGAAAAUAACAGUUGUUGUUUGUGCACAGGCUAAAUCUUUUACAUACAGUCACUGUUGACAAGACAAAGUACGCUAAAACGCAAAGGUGGAACACCUAUAUAAAAUAAAUAGUUCAUUAACAAAUGGAAAUUGUCAUUUCCUCACCUUGUGUUAUUGAAACCUGUAUAGAAGUCAUCUAGCAAAAUGUGUGAGCUGCUCUUUUUCAUACAAUUAGAUAUUUUCAGUAAAAAGCCUUACAUUUCAGUCUGCCUCUUAACAAAGCUAUCAUAUGGCUUCAGAAGACUUGAAAUAUAGAGCACAGGUUGUAUGGUCUAUAUGGUGCUUUUUGUCCUCUGCUAGAGAACAGCGGAGAUAUUCUACUUAACUUCUCCUUUGGUGCUCCGCAAAUAAGGGCAAUUAAAUAACAGAUUUAUCAUUUAUAGGCCAACUAUCCCUUUAAAAAAAAAUCGUGGCAUUAGAUCAUGGGUAACAAAAUUUGAAAUGGUUGGCUGUAGUUCUGUCAUUUUAUUGAGCUUAUAUUUGUGUUGAUCACAAACCAGUUCUCUACUCUGGAUAAGGACCAUAAAAUAAACAAAGUAUUGUCCUCAUUACGUCUUGCAACAUUGACGACAGAUUAAAA
Molecule: long non-coding RNA, 1395 nt
Organism: Sinocyclocheilus grahami
Lineage: Eukaryota; Metazoa; Chordata; Actinopteri; Cypriniformes; Cyprinidae
Exons: 2
Source: RefSeq, a predicted model, not a curated record